AUGUUGUUAAGGAGGUUGCCGUCACAAUUGAGGUUGGGUCCUCUGUGGGUUUCCAACCAGAUGGUUUUCAAAGAGAGGGAGUCAGGGAUUCGAGGAAGGUGGAUUGGGUUAGGGGGCUAAAGACGUCGCAUGGGGUUCAUUUUUUAGCAGUACAGGAAACAAAAAUGGGGGUAAAUGCAAAUUUCAGAUGGAGUAGGUUUU
This 201-nucleotide long non-coding RNA is filed under the name Helianthus annuus (common sunflower). RNAcentral describes it as "sRNA HanXRQr2_Chr11g0506901". The record is from RNAcentral. Lineage: Eukaryota; Viridiplantae; Streptophyta; Magnoliopsida; Asterales; Asteraceae.